GUGAUUUGCAUUAUGUGACCUGAUUAGGCUUCUUCGGGUAAAAACUGCUUGACUGGCGUCUCAGUCACUCUCCUGUUAGCUUCACUGCACCUGUUAGAGUGGAAUAAAUUACACAUCUAUCAUUGCUCUUGGCAGAUUAAAUCUCGAAUGUCCGCAUGCUAACCUACAUUCAUUCUGAACAAAAGUUCCUGUGGAAAUUCUUCUGCAAGUCAAAACCUGUGGAGGUUCCUGGUCGUGCAAUGCUGUGGCAGUGGUUUAACUGGGCUACUGCUUGAGAGUAGAAGAGCAGGCUGACAAAACUACCGAUGCAGAGGAGCGCACCAGGCGCAAAUACGCGCUCUAGAAAGACGAGGCAGCAAGAUACACGACGCAGGCCUGCAAACAACCAGCAGAAUACAACCAUGGGUACACUCAACGGACCUGUGGGACCCCUAGCAUGGUCCCCCAUGACCACAGAGUACCAGGAGAAGUUCCUCCCUCCCCAGCGGUACAAAACUAUCAUCACCACCUCAGGGAUGAAGGAGCCCUACCAUUCGCUGAAGGGCACGAGUGCAGAUAUCCGCACCUUAAGAUCCUGCUUCGUUGACCAAAACUGCCGUAAAAUCCCACCACAGGCCCCACAGCCUCCACAGCCUCUCAAAGACUACAGAAAGAGGGCCAGCAGCGUCACACGCCCUCCUGUUUGUACCAUGGCCCCCCAGAUGCCACCCAAGCAGGACUUUGUAACUGUGUAUCAAAGUAAGCAACCUGAGAAUCAAACUUGUCAUGCAGUCAUCAAAUAUGGCACAGCAAAUAUUUACAAUCCAUUGGUUUUCAGGUGAUUUCCAACCUUGGGUGGUGAGCAAGCUGAAGCCACAUCGGCUGAAAGACAACUUCAACAUAAAGCAUGGAAUAGUUGCCUUGGAUUAUCCUCAUGAGCAAGAGAGAAGAUCCACAGCCAACUCUACUGGCGUCCCACAGGAUGUCUCCCACCCUGUGCAGCCCAGACCCAGCCAAGUUGAGCCACCGGAGCCGAGAGCAGCAUCCUUCCAACCAAAGGCGGCUUCACACAUAAACAAAGAACGUCUUGACAAAUCCAGUGACUUCUUUGACAAAUUCCAAUCCUGGUCCCUUGAAACCAAGUUCUACGGCCAACCCAAAGAGCCCGGUCAACCAGAACAUCACUGGUUUGUCCAAAUGACACACAAGUCCCACAGCACAAAGCCAAUUCUGCCGUCUGUGCAAACCAGCAUGAACAGUGCAUAACCCGUCCGUGGGAAUACCAUGAAGGAGGACUGUAGAGCUUGGAGUGCACCACAGGUCACGAAAAAACCUUCGAGCAGAUGUCCCAAACUAAACAACACUGCAGGCUCUAAUUCCAACUGUGACGCCACAAACAAACUUCCGUUUCCCAAGAGAAUGGAGUCUUUGCAGAGUUCGAGUCACUGCACUGAGAACGAAGUGACCUGGAUGUUCUGGUCCAGCUGUCUGGACACUGGAAAGACUGGAGGUGGCAGUUGUGUCGAGCCUCCUCGAAGCCACCACUGCCCAGUUUCCAGAAGAAACUAAAAGCGGCUAACAAGAUGUGGUGCUGCCACAGACUACCUCGGGUAGCUUCUACCCUUGCAUCAAUAAGAAGCCAUAAAUAGCAGUAAUAAUGUGUAAUGGCAGCUAUUUUUAUACGAGCAUCUGACUGACACAUCCCAUUUGAUUGUUAUAUAAUGAGCAAAAUCAAAGCCAGCUAAAAGUGGACUUCCUCUGAUUAUCGAAAGGUGUUUCUGAAUCCGCUGAAUCACCUGGAGAACAGAAUGUAGAUUAGAUGUCAAAAGCAC
Long non-coding RNA from Amphiprion ocellaris (clown anemonefish), 1811 nucleotides. The record is from Ensembl. Lineage: Eukaryota; Metazoa; Chordata; Actinopteri; Pomacentridae.